This 717-nucleotide ribosomal RNA is filed under the name uncultured Staphylococcus sp. Its description in RNAcentral is "bacterial SSU rRNA". It matches the Rfam family "Bacterial small subunit ribosomal RNA", at positions 60 to 759 of the family's 1533-position model. Lineage: Bacteria; Bacillati; Bacillota; Bacilli; Caryophanales; Staphylococcaceae. The record is from RNAcentral.
AGUCGAGCGAACGGACGAGAAGCUUGCUUCUCUGAUGUCAGCGGCGGACGGGUGAGUAACACGUGGAUAACCUACCUAUAAGACUGGGAUAACUUCGGGAAACCGGAGCUAAUACCGGAUAAUAUUUUGAACCGCAUGGUUCAAAAGUGAAAGACGGUCUUGCUGUCACUUAUAGAUGGAUCCGCGCUGCAUUAGCUAGUUGGUAAGGUAACGGCUUACCAAGGCAACGAUGCAUAGCCGACCUGAGAGGGUGAUCGGCCACACUGGAACUGAGACACGGUCCAGACUCCUACGGGAGGCAGCAGUAGGGAAUCUUCCGCAAUGGGCGAAAGCCUGACGGAGCAACGCCGCGUGAGUGAUGAAGGUCUUCGGAUCGUAAAACUCUGUUAUUAGGGAAGAACAUAUGUGUAAGUAACUGUGCACAUCUUGACGGUACCUAAUCAGAAAGCCACGGCUAACUACGUGCCAGCAGCCGCGGUAAUACGUAGGUGGCAAGCGUUAUCCGGAAUUAUUGGGCGUAAAGCGCGCGUAGGCGGUUUUUUAAGUCUGAUGUGAAAGCCCACGGCUCAACCGUGGAGGGUCAUUGGAAACUGGAAAACUUGAGUGCAGAAGAGGAAAGUGGAAUUCCAUGUGUAGCGGUGAAAUGCGCAGAGAUAUGGAGGAACACCAGUGGCGAAGGCGACUUUCUGGUCUGUAACUGACGCUGAUGUGCGAAAG